UCCCCCCAUUUCCCAAAUCUCCCCCUCUCCACCGUCCCCUCCCCCCACCGACCACCAACGCCUACUGACCGCCCACCGUCCCUCGGCCAGCUCUUUGUCUCUCUCUUUCUCUCUUUCUCGCAAACCCAAAUCUCCCCCUCUCCGGCCACCGUCCCUUGGGACCGCGAUUUUCGCGAGACUAUGGAGCCCCAGUUCCGGAUCUGGACUCGCCUGGAUCGGUGUGGGUGGGGGGCAUGAAGCGGCCAGAUCUGUACUCGCCUUGACGUUCUUCUCUCCUCCAACUCGACCUCUCUCCAUGGCUGCCUCAUCCUCUGUUCAACCAACUACAAACCCGCAGGGUGCAGAAUAAACAAGCAUUAAGGUUGGCUACCAGUGCAGGUUGCGAUUCACGUUUGCAGUGGGAGAACAUGGUGAGAUGCAAGACUAGGCACCAGAAGUCUUUCUUAUUGCAGAUCAUUCUCAUCAAAUACCUGAUAAUUUGAACUUAUGUAUAGUUUGAUGAGGCAGAGGGCCCUAACCCAAUAAUUAAACUUAUGGAUGUUAUUGAUGCCUUUAAAAGGGUCCUUAACCCAAGAUUUUUUGGAACUAUUCUUGGCUUUGUAUCUUUCCAGAGGUCACAUACAAUGCCAAAGUGCAUGUACCGAUAAUCUUAACUUGGAAGAACCUUUUUUUGUUGUAAAAAUCAUGUGUAUCUUAAUAUGGUUCUAUAUCCAAAUUGUGGUUGAAUUUUAUA
Molecule: long non-coding RNA, 733 nt
Organism: Alnus glutinosa
Lineage: Eukaryota; Viridiplantae; Streptophyta; Magnoliopsida; Fagales; Betulaceae
Exons: 2
Source: RefSeq, a predicted model, not a curated record